CAGAGUUUGAUCCGGCUCAGGAUAAACGCUAGCGGCAGGCCUAACACAUGCAAGUCGAGGGGCAGCGUGGCGGGUAGCAAUACCUGUUGACGGCGACCGGCGCACGGGUGCGUAACGCGUAUGUAACCUACCGUUCACAGGGGGAUAGUCAGAGGAAACUUUGAAUAAUACCGCAUAAAACAGGGGUCCGGCAUCGGAAUAUUUGUUAAAGGUGGCGACACGGUGAACGAUGGGCAUGCGUUCGAUUAGAUAGUUGGAGAGG
RNAcentral lists this ribosomal RNA (262 nucleotides) under uncultured bacterium. RNAcentral describes it as "partial 16S ribosomal RNA". It matches the Rfam family "Bacterial small subunit ribosomal RNA", at positions 8 to 257 of the family's 1533-position model. The record is from RNAcentral.